Molecule: ribosomal RNA, 189 nt
Filed under: uncultured bacterium
Lineage: Bacteria
Description: partial 16S rRNA
Rfam family: Bacterial small subunit ribosomal RNA
Source: RNAcentral
CCUACGGGAGGCAGCAGUAAGGAAUAUUGGUCAAUGGAGGGAACUCUGAACCAGCCAUGCCGCGUGCAGGAAGACGGCCCUACGGGUUGUAAACUGCUUUUGCACGGGAAUAACCCUCAUUAUGAAUAAUGAGCUGAAUGUACCGUGAGAAUAAGGAUCGGCUAACUCCGUGCCAGCAGCCGCGGUAAU